UUACCGAGGUGCGAUGGUUUGAGGGCGUUUACUGAGGUUAAGAAAAGAAUACUGCUUGCUUACCUAAGCAAAGGUAAAUAAUUAAGCAUCGUUAUGCGGAUGACAUCAAGCGACCCUUUCUAAGAUCGUAGUCUGUGCUUAAGGCGACCUGAACUGCAACCUACUAAAGUCAUCCGAUCCUGCAUCACAAGCUCUCAUCAACGUCUGUUCCUCACAUAAUUUAACUCAAUUGACAAAUCUGCCGACAAGGAUCACUGAGUCACCUGCAACUUUGAUAGACGUCAUCCUCGAGUUGAAUAAAAACCUAGUAAGAGAUACAAAGGUCAUACCUGUUUCUAGUAGUGACCACAAUUUAGUUUUUGCUGUUCUUAAACUUCGGCGACAACGUCCUACGGCCGGUAUGUAUAACGACCUGGGUUUCAAGGAUUAUAACACCAGGCUUUUCUCCACGAUAUAUCUUAAGUCCCUUGGUCUGACGUCGACCGUUUCGACGACAUCGAAGAUAGCCUUUAUGCCUUCAAUCUUUUAUUCAAGGAAGUCCUGGAUGAACACGCACCUGGAAAAACGAUCAAAUUACGGAGCCGACCAAACCUGUAUUUUACGGACGAGAUAAGAGAACCUAUGAAAAUAAGGGACUAUUGACGGAAGUUGGCAAGAAGGACCGGCGAUCCAGACGCUUGGAUCGAAUACAGGAAUCUUAAACACGAAGUUAAGAGGGGGAUUAGACAGGCAGAACGCGAGUCCAUGGCAGAUCAAGUAAAGAGAAAUCCCAAAAAUUCUGGUCGCGGAAGUCGCCAAAUGCUCUCCAAACUCCCUGACGUACGUUUAUCGUUGUUGGGGAAAGAUCUUACUAUAAACCGAUAAAGAUCUUGGCGUUACAUUUGAUCCGAACCUCAAUUUUUACGAUCACAUCCAUAAAACUGUUGCGUCUUGUAUGUCCAGCCUUGCUCGAAUCAGUCGUGUUAAGCAUAUGUGUGAUAGAAAUACUCUAAUGACAAUAAUUAAUACCCUCGUAUUUAGUAAACUGUUUUAUUGUUCA
This is a long non-coding RNA of Pocillopora damicornis (cauliflower coral), 1039 nucleotides long. RefSeq lists it as uncharacterized. Lineage: Eukaryota; Metazoa; Cnidaria; Anthozoa; Scleractinia; Pocilloporidae. The record is from RefSeq and is a predicted model, not a curated record.